This 492-nucleotide ribosomal RNA is filed under the name uncultured bacterium. Its description in RNAcentral is "partial 16S ribosomal RNA". It matches the Rfam family "Bacterial small subunit ribosomal RNA", at positions 29 to 507 of the family's 1533-position model. The record is from RNAcentral.
AGUGAACGCUGGCGGUAGGCCUAACACAUGCAAGUCGAACGGCAGCACAGUAAUAGCUUGCUCUUACGGGGUGCGAGUGGCGGACGGGUGAGGAAUACAUCGUAAUCUACUUUUUCGUGGGGGAUAACGUAGGGAAACUUACUCUAAUACCGCAUACGACCUACGGGUGAAAGCAGGGGAUCUUCGGACCUUGCGCGAUUGAAUGAGCCGAUGUCGGAUUAGCUAGUUGGCGGGGUAAAGGCCCACCAAGGCGACGAUCCGUAGCUGGUCUGAGAGGAUGGUCAGCCACACUGGAAGUGAGACAGGGUCCAGAGUCCUACGGGAGGCAGCAGUGGGGAAUAUUAGACAAUGGGCGCAAGCCUGACCCAGCCAUACCGCGUGGGUGAAGAAGGCCUUCGGGUUGUAAAGCCCUUUUGUUGGGAAAGAAAAGCAGCAGGUUAAUACCCCGCUGUUCUGACGGUACCCAAAGAAUAAGCACCGGCUAACUUCGUG